AGACAAAUGUUGAAAAACGUCUUUGCGGGGCAGGACGUUGGUCACGAGUUUGAGCAUGCUGCUGAGCAAUUGGAACAUCGGGAUUAUCCUAGUCA
Molecule: small nucleolar RNA, 95 nt
Filed under: Xylona heveae TC161
Lineage: Eukaryota; Fungi; Ascomycota; Xylonomycetes; Xylonales; Xylonaceae
Description: Nematode snoRNA ceN47
Source: Rfam by way of RNAcentral